GAGAGUUUAUGUUCACGUCUAUCCGUCUACUAAGCCUACUACUACACGCAGAAAUGAUGCGCGGCAGGCUGGUGCACGGUAUUCAGAACUGAAUUCGGGCCACUCCAGAUAAAAACCCGCGCACUGCGCGGGUUUUUUU
This is a regulatory RNA element of Sodalis praecaptivus, 139 nucleotides long. It matches the Rfam family "Leucine operon leader". From Rfam's summary of the family: At least 6 amino acid operons are known to be regulated by attenuation. In each a leader sequence of 150-200 bp is found upstream of the first gene in the operon. This leader sequence can assume two different secondary structures known as the terminator and the anti-terminator structure. NCBI's taxonomy places the organism in Bacteria, Pseudomonadati, Pseudomonadota, Gammaproteobacteria, Enterobacterales, Bruguierivoracaceae. The record is from Rfam.